UAAUACUGAACCAGAUGCUCCGCAGGGCGCAGCUUUAUACGACCGCAGAGGUUGAACCCUGAACGGUUGGGGCAAGUAUGGACACAACAUUCAAGCUGGAUUCAGCUCUAAAUUUGGAUUGUGAUUAAAUAGUUGACACAGCAUAGGUUUCUGACACAGAAUGAAUGCGGUCAAAGAACUUAAAUUUUUUUUUGCCUUUGAGCAAUUCACUAUGCUGUUGAAUAUUAAUCCUCUCAAAAAAAAUGUUUAAAGACAUUUUCUUUUUGCUUAUGAAAUC
This 277-nucleotide long non-coding RNA is filed under the name Mytilus galloprovincialis (Mediterranean mussel). Lineage: Eukaryota; Metazoa; Mollusca; Bivalvia; Mytilida; Mytilidae. The record is from RNAcentral.